Molecule: transfer RNA, 227 nt
Filed under: Methanosarcina mazei Tuc01
Lineage: Archaea; Methanobacteriati; Methanobacteriota; Methanomicrobia; Methanosarcinales; Methanosarcinaceae
Description: tRNA-Leu (CAG) (tRNA-Leu-CAG-1-1)
Source: RNAcentral
GCGAGAGUUGCCCAGCCAGGUCAAAGGCGCCAGGUUCAGAGCCUGGUCUUGUAGGAGUUCAAUAAAUUAACCAUUGACUCUGCAUCCUCUUUUUUUUGACAACAAAAAGGAGAUUAAUUCUAUGAUUUAUAAAGCUUCUUGUGAGUUGUGGCAAGAUUAAUCUCUUAAGCAACGGACUUAAGAUCUGUUAUCGAAGGAUUUCGUGUGUUUGAAUCCCACCCCUCGCA